CAUUUAUUUUUUUCUUUCAUGGAUCAUCCUUUUGGUGUAGUAUCUAAAAGGUCAUUUACAAACCCAAGGUUACCUAGAUUUUCUCCUAUGUUAUCUUGAAGAAGUUCUA
Molecule: non-coding RNA, 109 nt
Organism: Ceratotherium simum simum (southern white rhinoceros)
Lineage: Eukaryota; Metazoa; Chordata; Mammalia; Perissodactyla; Rhinocerotidae
Source: RefSeq, a predicted model, not a curated record